Molecule: long non-coding RNA, 2578 nt
Filed under: Sus scrofa (pig)
Lineage: Eukaryota; Metazoa; Chordata; Mammalia; Artiodactyla; Suidae
Description: lncRNA (ENSSSCG00000055848.1)
Source: RNAcentral
AGGGGAUUCCUCGCCGUUGCUCAGCCCGCCGCGCCAAGGCUGCCUUCCCCUGCUUUCCCUUGGCCGCGCCGCCGGAACUUCGUGGGAAGGCAGUCCCCGCGCUCGUGGUGCGAGCAUCUCUCCAGUCGCGCGUCGGUGGCUGGGAUACAGCCCGGGUACCCAGCGUGCGCCUGUUGUCACUGCCGAGCCCAACUCCGAACGCCCCGCUCCUGUACCCGCCGUUUCUGAUUGGCCGGCCGGAGGCGGAGCGAUUGUCAGGCCGCCCAAUCGGUGCUCGGUUUCCCACGGGCUCCCGCUGCCCCGCCCCCGGGGCCGCAGGCGGAGGCACCCUGACAGCUCCGAUUGGCAGACAGCGAACGGUCCGGUGCACAGCCGGGCGGAGCAGCGCCGCCGCCGUCGGGCGCGCAGCUCUGCAGCGCAGCGAACGCUUUGGCGCCCGCAGCCCCGGGAGCCCAGCGGCCCCGCAUUGUCCCUGGCCCUGUGACUGAGAUCUGGGAUGAGCGUCGCGGAUUGAUGGCUGUUUUCCAAAUGUUGACAUUAUCAGAAGCCUGACCUCCACGUGGCAAAGAAGGGCCUGUUUUAAGAGGCCUCACCAAACAGCUGGCUGCAAAGGGCUGCUCUUUGAGACCAGGUUGUCUGCAGAGUCCCGAGCUGUCGGGGUUGGCCGGCUGCCUUUCUUCUCUGGCGGUGUGUGUGUGUUCUCCAUGUUUCCAGGGUGAAGCGCCCACGAGCAGCUGGACUGAGUUCAUUGCUUUCCUUGCUGUGAAGAGCUGCCAUGGAGAUGCCCCGAAGGGCUGCAGGCCUCACCUUUCAUCCACACGCCCUCCCGCACCAGGGCUGCUGCUGGGCUCCUGCCUGGAGCUGCUGGGGUCAGUGGGUGGGACACCCCUGGGUGUUCUUAAAUCCACUGGUAGCUGGUGCCUAAACUCCAACUCAGGAUGGCGGCUGUGUGGUCCAUGUCUGGAUGCUGCAGAGCCUUUUCCAGAAUGAGCCGCCCCUGCUCUUGUCUUGACCUCCCCACCAUCUGUCUUCAAAUAGUAGCCCGAGGGCACCUUUUAGGUCAGACAGUGUUGCUGUGCUCAAAACCUUCCUGUGCUUUUUUUUCCUAGGUGUUUGGUGAAAAAUAUUUCUUUCUUUCUUUCUUUUUUCCUAGCUAACAACAUAGCUGUUUUUUUUUUUUUAUCUUACUUUAUUUUAAUUUUUUUAAAUUACUCAAUGAAUUUAUUACAUUUAUAGUUGUACAAUGAUCAACACAAUCCAAUUUUAUAGGAUUUCCAUCCCACAACCCUAGCACAUCCCCCCACCCCCCGAACUGUCUCCUUUGGAAACCAUACGUUUUUCAAAGUCUGUGAGUCAGUAUCUGUUCUGCAAAGAAGUUCAUUCUGUCCUUUUUCCAGAUUCCACAUGUCAGUGAGAGCAUUUGAUGUUGGUGUCUCACCGUUUGGCUGACUUCACUUAGCAUGAUAAUUUCUAGGUCCAUCCAUGCUGCUGCAAAUGCUGUUAUUUUGUUCCUUUUAAUGGCUGAGUAAUAUUCCAUUGUGUAUAUGUACCACAUCUUCUUGAUCCACUCCUCUGCCGAUGGGCAUUUAGGUUGUUUCCAUGUCUUGGCUAUUGCAUAGAGUGCUGCAAUGAACAUCGGAGUACGUGUGUCUUUGCGAGUCGUGGUUUUCUCUGGGUAGAUGCCCAGGAGUGGGAUUGCUGGAUCAAAUGGUAGUUCUAUUUUCAGUUUUCUGAGGCAUCUCCAUACUGUUUUCCCCAGUGGUUGCCCCAAUUUACAUUCCCACCAACAGUGUAAUAGGGUUCCCUUUUCUCCACAUCCUCUCCAGCAUUUAUUGUUUGUAGACAUUUAGAUGAUGGCCAUUCGGGCUGGUGUAAGGUGGUACCUCAUCGUGGUUUUGAUUUGCAUCUCUCUAAUAAUGAGUGAUGUUGAACAUCUUUUCAUGUGUUUUUUGGCCACCUGUAUAUCUUCUUUGGAGAAUUGUCUGUUUAGAUCUUCUGCCCAUUUUUUGAUGGGGAACAAUAUUUCUUUAAUGGAGUUAUGGUUCAGAAAUUUCCGCGUGAUUAAUAUCACAUUUAAAUGUAACUAUAAGUAGCUUGAUGAAAUGAUGUAUAGCAUGAAGAGGCGAAGACUUAUAUUCUAAAGGUUUGAAUCCCUCGAUUUGAGGUCUAGAGCUGCCGUUUAGAAGGAGAGCUUGUGAAUUUAAAGAUGUCAUUUGGCAUCUCGGAGUUUUCUUAUCUGUUAAAAUUGGCAGAUGUGAUAUAAUUCUGAUUUCUUCAAAACAGUGUUGGUAUAAGGAUCAAAUGAACUGAUAGGUUUUUUUUUUUUUUUUCAUUCUCUUCAUCGUAUUAUCUUCCAUCAAAAAGUUUUAUAGGUGGCUCAGCAUUAACAAGCCCAACUAGGAUCCAUGAGGACGUGGGUUUGAUUCCUGGCCUCACUCAGCGGGUUAAGGAUCCCGCAUUGCUGUGAGCUAUGAUGUAGGUUGCAGAUGCAGCUCGGAUCCUGUGUUGCUGUGGCGGUGGUGUAGGCUGACAGCUGUAGCUCCGAUCCAACCCCUAGCCUGGGAACCUCCGUAUGCCU